RNAcentral lists this ribosomal RNA (468 nucleotides) under uncultured bacterium. Its description in RNAcentral is "partial 16S ribosomal RNA". It matches the Rfam family "Bacterial small subunit ribosomal RNA", at positions 28 to 507 of the family's 1533-position model. The record is from RNAcentral.
GACGAACGCUGGCGGCGUGCUUAACACAUGCAAGUCGAACGGACAGGCCCUGCUUUUGUGGGGUGCUCGAGUGGCGAACGGGUGAGUAACACGUGAGUAACCUGCCCUUGACUUUGGGAUAACUUCAGGAAACUGGGGCUAAUACCGGAUAGGAGCUCCUGCUGCAUGGGGGGGGUUGGAAAGUUUCGGCGGUUGUGGCUGGACUCGCGGGUUAUGAGCUUGUUGGUGGGGUAGGGGCUUUCCAAGGCUUUGACGGCUAGCCGGCCUGGGAGGGUGGCCGGGCACCAUGGUCCUACGGUACGCACCAGAAGGCUACGGGCCGCAGCGGUGGGGAGCAUGGCACAAUGAGCGGAAGCCUGAUGCAGAAACGCCGCGUGCGGAAUGACGGCUUUCGGGUUGUAAACCGAUUUCGCCUGUGACGAAGCGGGAGUGACGGUAAUGAGUAAGGAAGCACCGGCUAACUACGUG